Non-coding RNA from Macaca mulatta (Rhesus monkey), 307 nucleotides. The record is from RefSeq and is a predicted model, not a curated record. NCBI's taxonomy places the organism in Eukaryota, Metazoa, Chordata, Mammalia, Primates, Cercopithecidae.
ACUACAAGAACAUUAUGCAGUUGGAAUCAAUGGGGUCCAUGGUGCAGGGGCAGGCUGCAAUUAUGACCUCAAUAGACAUCAGGUCUUUUCUGCCUCUGAGACAGGGAAAGUGUGAGAGUAUCAUGGGAGGGAAAUUGCUGAUGGGAGAUAAAGUCCAGGGUUCUUAGAAUGCACAAUUGAUUACUACAUCUUACAACAGGUCAAGCCCAAAAUCACAAAAGAUAGCAUCUUCCCGCGUCCAGAUGGACUGCCCUAUGUGCCUGGUCCUCACCUGGAUGACAUUUUGUGACCAGAAGAAGAAGGCCAA